AUGCAUCUACCUCCUACGCCGCCGCAUCAGCUAAUUUCCCUCAGCAUACUCUCUUCAUGGAGCAUUGUGCCUUCAUGCUCCGGCAGUCUCAUGCACCACACUCCUCGUGCACUCUUGAGGAUGCAUGGUGUGCUAGUUACUUCCUUGACUAGGAUGGAACGGGGAUUCAAAGAGAUUGAUUCUCACGAGUAUGAUUCGCAAAUAAGGGUGAUAGAAAGCAGGCAGGUGAUCACACUGUCGUUCUCAAGGAGCAACAUAGACGCUGAGCCCCAAGACACAAAGAUGCUAAAUGGCAAGGCAUAA
RNAcentral lists this ribosomal RNA (303 nucleotides) under Triticum aestivum (bread wheat). RNAcentral describes it as "partial small subunit ribosomal RNA". Lineage: Eukaryota; Viridiplantae; Streptophyta; Magnoliopsida; Poales; Poaceae. The record is from RNAcentral.